This 2869-nucleotide long non-coding RNA is filed under the name Lupinus angustifolius (narrow-leaved blue lupine). RNAcentral's name for it is "long non-coding RNA (LANG_LNC002352)". Lineage: Eukaryota; Viridiplantae; Streptophyta; Magnoliopsida; Fabales; Fabaceae. The record is from RNAcentral.
CCAAAUGCAAGACCCAAUAGGGUGAAGCAACAUCCCAAAUGGAUGCAGGAUUUUAUUUCAAAAUUAUUAAUUAAGUUGUUAAUUUCUUAUGAGAAUUAAGGCUUCUAAGACUUUAGGCUUGUGACCCAGAAAUCCAAUUGUUAAACCUAAUGCCACUAUUUUACUAUUUAGCAACAGUAGCAGCUGCUACAAUGAAAUAUAUGAUGAAUUUCUAGAAUUUCUUAUCUUAGUUCUUUAGCAUUCUUCAAUUUUCUUCACUAAUUAAUUAAGUUCUUAUCAAUUGAUGCUUUCAUUCCUACAAUACCUCCCAAAGUUGCAAACAAAGAUAUUGAUGAGACCUUGAUACAAAUCCUUGCUGAUAAAUUGCAAGAAUACAAAGACCAACACGAUGCAAGACAUGAGGUAAUUACAGAUACUUUACGCACUAUUACAGAUAAGUUAGCUACAAUUUCUUUUUUACCUCCCCAUCCACCAGAUCCACCCAACAUUCCCAGUUCUUCCAAUCUCACAAACCCUAAACCCCAAUCUCCUACUGGCCAAAAUGCUAUCCCACCACCCUUUCCCAUACCAUCCCCAAUACCACCCUUCACAACCUAUAACACACCAGUCCCUCCAUUUUUUAGCAAAACCAACAAUCCUACAUACGACCCCUACUCAACCACCACACAUUAACCCUCACCAUCCUAGACCACCUAAGCUGCAACUGAACCCAUUUGAUGGUUCUGAACCCUUGGACUGGUUGUUCCAAGCUGAGCAAUUCUUCCAACUAUACUAGGUUCCCCUAGAUUAAAGACUGCAUAUCAUCUCCUUCUACAUGAAAGGAUAAGCUCUCAGCUAGUUUAAAUGGGCUUUUCACAACAUCUCAAUAACUGAGUGGGAUAGUUUCACACGGUUCGUAGAGAUCUGUUUUGGUCCUUCAUGCUACGAGAAUCACCAAGGAGAGCUGUUUAAGCUCCGCCAAACCACCACAGUGGCAGAUUAUCAGCAAAAGUUCGAAAAGCUAUGUAAUAGAAUAUGGGGUCUGUCACUAGAGGUAAUACUUAAUUGUUUUAUUUCCUGCCUAAUUCCUGAAAUACGCCGUGAACUAGCAAUUUUAAGGCCUCGUCAUAUUGCUGAAGCACUUGGUCUAGCGAAAGUUGUGGAAUCCAAACUCAAGGACUCAAAGCCAGUUUACCAAAGAAACCCUCCUAAUACAUACAUACAACACCCACUCAUACCUAACCGUAUCCAAAACCGACCUAAUCCAAACACCACUUUCCAAAAUGCCCAGCCUACCAUUCCCAUUCGACGUCUCACAACCGCUCAAAUGCAAGAGCGACGAGCUCAAGGUCUUUGCUACAAGCCUUAGAAGGACCCCAUUUACUUUUUUGACCGGAGACUUGGGUUCUGAGGGUGAUAUUCCCCUGGAAAAAUUUACUUCCGUUGAGGAGGAGGUUCCAAAUAUGACCGAGGAACUUAUUCAUUUUCAACUAUCUGAACAAGCCUUAGAAGGACCCCAUUCACCACGAACCUUGAGAUUCUAAGGCAGUAUUGCGGGACACAUGGUGACAGUACUAGUGGACACUGGUAGUUCUCACAAUGUCAUUCAACCCCUUCUAGCAUAACAAUUACAUCUGCCCAUUUCAACAACACCGAAAUUUCCGGUCAUGGUAAAAACUGGGGUGCACAUUUCCGGUCAGCGGUAGCGAUUGGAGCGGUCUUAUCCAAUAUGGUCAACCAUUGGCCCACUUCAACAAGAAAAUGUCUCUUCGCAUGCAGAAUGCUUCUACCUAUGUCAGGGAGAUGUUCGCCAUGACAUAAUCUGUAAAGAAAUGGUGUCAAUAUCUCAUCGGAAGGCAUUUCAUUAUAUACACAGAUCAGCAGAGUUUAAAGCAUUUGGUAACACAAGGCUUUCAUACACCAGAACAACAAAAAUGGGCUACAUAACUCAUUGGGUUUGAUUAUAAGGUUAAAUACAGGAGUGGUACCUCUAAUCGCGUGGUCGAUGCUUUGAGCAGAUGCCAUAGUGAAGAACAAGCUAUCUUCUCGGCCUUGUCAUCCCCCAUUCCACAUAUACUACACAGGUUGAGAACAUUUUAUGCAACUCCCGCUGGAAAACAAUUAUUAGAAAACUGUCAGUCCAAUGAUGUGGGUGAAAACACUUUCCAUUACUCACAAGGUCUAUUGUUCUUUCGCAAUCAGAUUUACAUACCUGACAUUGAGGACUUGAGAAGCACCUUGAUCAAGGAAUUCCAUGACUCUGCCAUUGUUGGUCGUUCGGGUUGGAAACCGUCCUCAGCUCGUCUCAUAGCAUCGUGCCACUGGCCUGUCAUGGCUAAGGACCUCAAACUGUUUAUCUGCCAAUGUGUCACAUGUCAAUACAUCAAAUACAGUCCACAAAGGAGUCAAAGUUUACUUCAGUCAUUAAAAAUAUCAGAGAAGGUAUGGGAGGACUUGUCCAUGGAUUUUAUAACUUGCAGGAGUAGGCAUUGAUGGAAGCCCAAAUGCAGGAGUAGGCAUUAGGGUGAAGCAACAGCCCAAAUGGAUGCAGGAUUUUAUUUAGAAAUUAUUAAUUAAGUUGUUAAUUUCUUAUGAGAAUUAAGGCGGCUUAGACUUUGGACCUGUGACCCAGAAGCCCAAUUGUUAAACCUAAUGCCACUACUUUACUAUUUAGCAACAGUAGCAGCUACUACAACGAAUUAUAUGAUGAAUUUCCCGAAUUUCUUAUCUUAGUUCUUUAGCAUUCUUCAAUUUUCUUCACUGUUUAAUUAAGUUCUUAUCACAGUCCAACAAAAUCAUCCAAAAAACACAAAUUAUCAAUGAAUUAGCUUUAGUUUGGAGCCCUCAUCCAAGACAUCUUAUGUGAACCCAACCCAGCCCAACCCAACCG